This 440-nucleotide ribosomal RNA is filed under the name Pseudomonas sp. RNAcentral describes it as "bacterial SSU rRNA". It matches the Rfam family "Bacterial small subunit ribosomal RNA", at positions 57 to 490 of the family's 1533-position model. Lineage: Bacteria; Pseudomonadati; Pseudomonadota; Gammaproteobacteria; Pseudomonadales; Pseudomonadaceae. The record is from RNAcentral.
GCAGUCGCAGCGGAUGAGGGAGCUUGCUCCUGGAUUCACGCGCGCGCGACGGGUGAGUAAUGCCUAGGAAUCUGCCUGGUAGUGGGGGAUAACGUCCGGAAACGGGCGCUAAUACCGCAUACGUCCUGAGGGAGAAAGUGGGGGAUCUUCGGACCUCACGCUAUCAGAUGAGCCUAGGUCGGAUUAGCUAGUUGGUGGGGUAAAGGCCUACCAAGGCGACGAUCCGUAACUGGUCUGAGAGGAUGAUCAGUCACACUGGAACUGAGACACGGUCCAGACUCCUACGGGAGGCAGCAGUGGGGAAUAUUGGACAAUGGGCGAAAGCCUGAUCCAGCCAUGCCGCGUGUGUGAAGAAGGUCUUCGGAUUGUAAAGCACUUUAAGUUGGGAGGAAGGGCAGUAAGUUAAUACCUUGCUGUUUUGACGUUACCAACAGAAUAAG